GAUGAACGCUGGCGGCGUGCCUAAUACAUGUAAGUCGAGCGAACAGAUGAGGAGCUUGCUCCUCUGACGUUAGCGGCGGACGGGUGAGUAACACGUGGAUAACCUACCUAUAAGACUGGGAUAACUUCGGGAAACCGGAGCUAAUACCGGAUAAUAUAUUGAACCGCAUGGUUCAAUAGUGAAAGACGGUUUUGCCGUCACUUGUAGAUGGAUCCGCGCCGCAUUAGCUAGUUGGUAAGGUAACGGCUUACCAAGGCAACGAUGCGUAGCCGACCUGAGAGGGUGAUCGGCCACACUGGAACUGAGACACGGUCCAGACCCCUACGGGAGGCAGCAGUAGGGAAUCUUCCGCAAUGGGCGAAAGCCUGACGGAGCAACGCCGCGUGAGUGAUGAAGGUCUUCGGAUCGUAAAACUCUGUUAUUGGGGAAGAACAAAUGUGUAAGUAACUAUGCACGUCUUGACGGUACCUAAUCAGAAAGCCACGGCUAACUACGUG
RNAcentral lists this ribosomal RNA (497 nucleotides) under uncultured bacterium. Its description in RNAcentral is "partial 16S ribosomal RNA". It matches the Rfam family "Bacterial small subunit ribosomal RNA", at positions 28 to 507 of the family's 1533-position model. The record is from RNAcentral.